GAGGCUGAAGUAGAGCAGCACGAUGACCAGCACCAGGCAGGCUGUGAGCUGCCACCGCGGAGGCCCCAGGUCGUCGAUGCCAUGGCUCUGGUGGAGGUGCAGCACGCCACGUCAAAGUACUCGGCAGCAGGUGUGGUCCCAAAAGUGUCGUUGAGGCCCGAGCUGUCUCCACUGGAGUCACCAGGAUGGGCAUCCGAGCAGUUGGGGCUGUUCCAGGAGUUGUUGCAGUGGAUCCAGGGGAGCUCCGUGGUGAAGGAGGAGAAGAGAUAGUGCAGC
RNAcentral lists this long non-coding RNA (276 nucleotides) under Homo sapiens (human). Its description in RNAcentral is "long non-coding RNA NONHSAT100027.2". The record is from RNAcentral. Lineage: Eukaryota; Metazoa; Chordata; Mammalia; Primates; Hominidae.